RNAcentral lists this ribosomal RNA (267 nucleotides) under uncultured bacterium. RNAcentral's name for it is "partial 16S ribosomal RNA". The record is from RNAcentral.
CUGCUGCCUUCCGUAGGAGUUUGGGCCGUGUCUCAGUCCCAAUGUGGCCGUCCACCCUCUCAGGCCGGCUACUGAUCGUCGCCUUGGUGGGCCGUUACCCCGCCAACAAGCUAAUCAGACGUGGGUCCAUCUUACACCACCGGAGUUUUUCACACAAAUCCAUGCGGCUUCGUGCGCUUAUGCGGUAUUAGCACCUAUUUCUAAGUGUUAUCCCCCAGUGUAAGGCAGGUUACCCACGCGUUACUCACCCGUCCGCCACUAAGAUUA